This 198-nucleotide ribosomal RNA is filed under the name uncultured bacterium. Its description in RNAcentral is "partial 16S ribosomal RNA". It matches the Rfam family "Bacterial small subunit ribosomal RNA", at positions 1303 to 1500 of the family's 1533-position model. The record is from RNAcentral.
GGCUGCAACUCGCCUACAUGAAGUCGGAAUCGCUAGUAAUCGCGGAUCAGCAUGCCGCGGUGAAUACGUUUCCGGGCCUUGUACACACCGCCCGUCACACCAUGGGAGCCGGUAAUGCCCGAAGUCAGUGACCCAACCGCAAGGAGGGAGCUGCCGAAGGUGGAGCUGGUAACUGGGGUGAAGUCGUAACAAGGUAGC